This 751-nucleotide ribosomal RNA is filed under the name uncultured Actinomyces sp. Its description in RNAcentral is "bacterial SSU rRNA". It matches the Rfam family "Bacterial small subunit ribosomal RNA", at positions 28 to 776 of the family's 1533-position model. The record is from RNAcentral. Lineage: Bacteria; Bacillati; Actinomycetota; Actinomycetes; Actinomycetales; Actinomycetaceae.
GACGAACGCUGGCGGCGUGCUUAACACAUGCAAGUCGAACGCUGAAGCCCAGCUUGCUGGGUGGAUGAGUGGCGAACGGGUGAGUAACACGUGAGUAACCUGCCCCCUCCUUUGGGAUAACGCCCGGAAACGGGUGCUAAUACUGGAUAUUCACUGGCCUUCGCAUGGGGGUUGGUGGAAAGGUUUUUUCUGGUGGGGGAUGGGCUCGCGGCCUAUCAGCUUGUUGGUGGGGUGAUGGCCUACCAAGGCUUUGACGGGUAGCCGGCCUGAGAGGGUGACCGGUCACAUUGGGACUGAGAUACGGCCCAGACUCCUACGGGAGGCAGCAGUGGGGAAUAUUGCACAAUGGGCGAAAGCCUGAUGCAGCGACGCCGCGUGAGGGAUGACGGCCUUCGGGUUGUAAACCUCUUUCGCUCAUGGUCAAGCCGCAGCUUUGGGUUGUGGUGAGGGUAGUGGGUAAAGAAGCGCCGGCUAACUACGUGCCAGCAGCCGCGGUAAUACGUAGGGCGCGAGCGUUGUCCGGAAUUAUUGGGCGUAAAGGGCUUGUAGGCGGUUGGUCGCGUCUGCCGUGAAAUCCUCUGGCUUAACUGGGGGCGUGCGGUGGGUACGGGCUGACUUGAGUGCGGUAGGGGAGACUGGAACUCCUGGUGUAGCGGUGGAAUGCGCAGAUAUCAGGAAGAACACCGGUGGCGAAGGCGGGUCUCUGGGCCGUUACUGACGCUGAGGAGCGAAAGCGUGGGGAGCGAACAGG